GUGGGGAAUUUUGGACAAUGGGCGCAAGCCUGAUCCAGCAAUGCCGCGUGCAGGAAGAAGGCCUUCGGGUUGUAAACUGCUUUUGUACGGAACGAAACGGUCCGGGUUAAUACCCUGGGCUAAUGACGGUACCGUAAGAAUAAGCACCGGCUAACUACGUGCCAGCAGCCGCGGUAAUACGUAGGGUGCAAGCGUUAAUCGGAAUUACUGGGCGUAAAGCGUGCGCAGGCGGUUAUAUAAGACAGAUGUGAAAUCCCCGGGCUCAACCUGGUAAUUGCGCUUGUGACUGCAAGGCUGGAGUGCGGCAGAGGGGGAUGGAAUUCCGCGUGUAGCAGUGAAAUGCGUAGAUAUGCGGAGGAACACCGAUGGCGAAGGCAAUCCCCUGGGCCUGCACUGACGCUCAUGCACGAAAGCGUGGGGAGCAAACAGGAUUAGAUACCCUAGUAGUCC
RNAcentral lists this ribosomal RNA (450 nucleotides) under uncultured bacterium. RNAcentral's name for it is "partial 16S ribosomal RNA". It matches the Rfam family "Bacterial small subunit ribosomal RNA", at positions 354 to 796 of the family's 1533-position model. The record is from RNAcentral.